CCUUGGUGUAGAGACUUACUAUUUUUUAUUUUUUUUCCCUAAGACUAAAGUAUCUGGGAUUUGAAGCCAUGGAGGAAGCAGGACAAACCACUGGCUGGCAGGGCAUGGGUAGAUGGUGCACAUGCUUGGCUAUAGCCAGGUGCCUCGGAAGCACUGUGCUGGCUGGUUCAUUGGGCUGGCAGCAGAUGCCAAAGGACAAGGAACAUCUUAGAUACCAUUCUCCUCCUCUGAGACCGUUUGUGGGCUGCAGAGAGCCAGAGCUGGCCAGAAAGGAGACACAGUAAAAAGGAAGAAAAAAUCACAAAGAACGUCUCAGGACCUGGUUCCUUCAUGGGGCUCCUGGCUCACCCUUGGUCCCCAAGGACGCUUGAUGCCCACAGGUGGUGCCCCCAGGGGCAUCAAAUGGGGGCCAGGUGACCACACGGGCACAGCUGCAGCCCCAGGCUCCUCUCGCACCCAUGGGAGCAGCUGAGCCUGGAUGGGGCUCACAUACCUCCACCCCAAGUUUGCCUCACACAUCCUUCCAGGUGAAAGCUUACUGUGUAUAGCACGUGAGAGCAUUCUCUUGAAAAUCAAUUGUUUUGAGUUAACGGAGUGCAUUUUCUAUUACCUAACGUGCUGCAGCCAGUAUAUCUGUUGAUUUCAAGGAUUUUUUUAUUUCACCUUGGCAUGUCUUUUAUCAGAAAUCAUUUUGAAACUUUUUAAUUUAUGGGCCUUUAUUGCAAUACUCAAUUCAUCCUGAGUAGUCUAUUAUUAAGUGUUCUAGAGGCUCUUAUUGUUCUUUAUCAGAGGAUUGUAUCUCUGUGCAAUUCAUCUGUAGUCAUUCUUCAUAGGGAAAAUCUUUCAUAUUAGGUUUCUUUCAUCAUUCGAUGACAACUCUUGAAUACAUCAUUAUUCAGCAAUGGGUUUAGAAAUUAUAAUCAUUAGGCAAUUUUUCAUAUAAUCUGAUUUUAUAAACUGUUUCUUUUUAUUAUCUUUUGAUGGAAAACAGUAAAUGCAUCUGUCUAUUUUGAUCCUCUCUGAUAACAGUAAUAGAAAAACUAAGUAAGGACAUCUUAUUGAGGAAACAGCCCAGCUGCAUUUUUUAUAUGCACAGAACCAAAGAUUACUUAACGUGAAGUAAAGCUCGCUACUCUCUUGAAUGCGACACACUGAGCACAAACAUCCAAAUGUAAAUUCUGCAGUUCUUGCGCAUAACUUUUCACCACUCAAUUGACUCUGUACUCCAGGUGGCUUAUUGUAUCCUGGGACUGGGUUUAUGCAAUUAAAUAACAUGUGCACAUC
Molecule: long non-coding RNA, 1284 nt
Filed under: Anas platyrhynchos platyrhynchos (common mallard)
Lineage: Eukaryota; Metazoa; Chordata; Aves; Anseriformes; Anatidae
Description: lncRNA (ENSAPLG00000026926.1)
Source: RNAcentral